GUAGGUGUUGCUGGGAUGUGGAGUCUGUGGCACUGGAGCAGAGGUAAACUUUUUCUCCGGUGCAGGACUCUGGUAAAAAGAACCCCAGUAGUAACAAUUGGCAAGCCAGGCAGGAGCCAGAGAUGGAUCAACGGCAUCAAGUUGGAAACUACAGGCAAACCAACUGGACCUUCAAAACCUUCAUGAAAAGGACUUUAAAAAAAAUACAGUUAAGAAUGGAGCCUGACAACCUACUCAAAACCUUACAAGAUCUGACCUUGCAGCAAAAAAGUCAAGGAGGUCCAUAACACAACUAAUAGGACCUUGGUCGUGAUUAAAAAAAAUCAAGAGAGACUAUUUCAGUCUUACAAAAUGUUA
Molecule: long non-coding RNA, 357 nt
Organism: Alligator sinensis (Chinese alligator)
Lineage: Eukaryota; Metazoa; Chordata; Crocodylia; Alligatoridae
Exons: 3
Source: RefSeq, a predicted model, not a curated record